Molecule: ribosomal RNA, 588 nt
Filed under: uncultured bacterium
Lineage: Bacteria
Description: bacterial SSU rRNA
Rfam family: Bacterial small subunit ribosomal RNA
Source: RNAcentral
CCUACGGGAGGCAGCAGUAGGGAAUCUUCCGCAAUGGACGAAAGUCUGACGGAGCAACGCCGCGUGAACGAUGAAGGCCUUCGGGUCGUAAAGUUCUGUUGUUAGGGAAGAACAAGUGCUAGUUGAAUAAGCUGGCGCCUUGACGGUACCUAACCAGAAAGCCACGGCUAACUACGUGCCAGCAGCCGCGGUAAUACGUAGGUGGCAAGCGUUGUCCGGAAUUAUUGGGCGUAAAGCGCGCGCAGGCGGUUUCUUAAGUCUGAUGUGAAAGCCCCCGGCUCAACCGGGGAGGGUCAUUGGAAACUGGGAAACUUGAGUGCAGAAGAGGAAAGUGGAAUUCCAAGUGUAGCGGUGAAAUGCGUAGAGAUUUGGAGGAACACCAGUGGCGAAGGCGACUUUCUGGUCUGUAACUGACGCUGAGGCGCGAAAGCGUGGGGAGCAAACAGGAUUAGAUACCCUGGUAGUCCACGCUGUAAACGAUGAGUGCUAAGUGUUAGAGGGUUUCCGCCCUUUAGUGCUGAAGUUAACGCAUUAAGCACUCCGCCUGGGGAGUACGGUCGCAAGACUGAAACUCAAAGGAAUUGACGG